ACCUACCUACCCUGUCAGUGAUUAGGUGGGAAAUGUUGAUCUCGCAAAUUAGAUUUUAAGGGAGCCGGAGUAAGUUGUACGGUGUGCAUGUCUCCCACACGGGAGAAAGCCUAAGUCCUCUUCAAGGCACCCACCUUUCCUCGGAAGGGAUCUAAUUUUCAUCUACACGGCAGGGUGGGUAUUUU
This 185-nucleotide non-coding RNA is filed under the name Candidatus Nitrobium versatile. RNAcentral describes it as "6S RNA". It matches the Rfam family "6S / SsrS RNA". From Rfam's summary of the family: E. coli 6S RNA was the first non coding RNA to be sequenced, but its function was unknown until recently. It consists of 184 nucleotides that fold into an extended hairpin structure with a large single-stranded internal bulge. The 6S RNA specifically associates with RNA polymerase holoenzyme containing the sigma70 specificity factor. Lineage: Bacteria; Pseudomonadati; Nitrospirota; Nitrospiria; Nitrospirales; Nitrospiraceae. The record is from RNAcentral.